CCUACGGGAGGCUGCAGUGGGGAAUAUUGCACAAUGGGGGAAACCCUGAUGCAGCGACGCCGCGUGAGUGAAGAAGUAUUUCUGUACGUAAACCUCUAUCAGCAGGGAAGAAAAUGACGGUACCUGACUAUGAAGCCCCGGCUAACUACGUGCCAGCAGCCGCGGUAAUACGUAGGGGGCAAGCGUUAUCCGGGUUUACUGGGUGGAAAGGGAGCGUAGGCGGCAGCGGAAGUCUGAAGUGAAAUCCAAUGGCUUAACCAUGGAACUGCUUUGGAAACUGUGCAGCUAGAGUGCAGGAGGGGUAAGCGGAAUUCCUAGUGUAGCGGUGAAAUGCGUAGAUAUUAGGAGGAACACCAGUGGCGAAGGCGGCUUACUGGACUGUAACUGACGUUGAGGCUCGAAAGCGUGGGGAGCAAACAGGAUUAGAUACCCUUGUAGUC
This 440-nucleotide ribosomal RNA is filed under the name uncultured bacterium. Its description in RNAcentral is "partial 16S ribosomal RNA". It matches the Rfam family "Bacterial small subunit ribosomal RNA", at positions 338 to 795 of the family's 1533-position model. The record is from RNAcentral.